This 474-nucleotide ribosomal RNA is filed under the name Triticum aestivum (bread wheat). Its description in RNAcentral is "partial small subunit ribosomal RNA". The record is from RNAcentral. Lineage: Eukaryota; Viridiplantae; Streptophyta; Magnoliopsida; Poales; Poaceae.
AUCAAUUGCCUAAGUUGGAACUGCCGGGGAGGGGGGAACACCCGGACAGUUCAUGAGCUAGCGAUGUUGUGUAAGUCGCGUUCCCCCAUGGUGGUGUUUUUGUGUGAAACAAGACAAAAGGAGGAGAAGAUGAAAAGGAUCCGUGCAAAGCUUGGUCUGAAGGGUUUUUGUGGAGUGGAUAGCAAUGGCCUGAGUGGUGGUUUGGCACUAUAUUGGAGAGAAGAAUGUGUGGUGAAUGUACUCGACAAGGGUGACAGGUUCAUUGAUAUUGUUAUCAGGGUGCAUGAAGGAGCGCCGGAGUGGAGAGCCACCUUUGUUUAUGGAGAACCGCGUGUGGAAAAUAGACACUUAAUGUGGUCGAAGUUAAGGGACAUGAAAACAGCUAAUAAUAUGCCUUGGUUAGUAAUUGGUGAUUUUAACGAAGCUAUGUGGGAUUUUGAGCACCUUUCGGUCACAUCAAGGGCGGAAGCAUAG